Molecule: ribosomal RNA, 230 nt
Filed under: uncultured bacterium
Lineage: Bacteria
Description: partial 16S ribosomal RNA
Rfam family: Bacterial small subunit ribosomal RNA
Source: RNAcentral
CGGGGUGGAGUAAUGCUUGGGAAUCUAGCUUAUGAGGGGGAGUAACUACGGGAAACUGUAGCUAAUACCGCGUAGAAUCGGGAGAUGAAAGUGUGGGACCUUCGGGCCACAUGCCAUAGGAUGAGCCCAAGUGGGAUUAGGUAGUUGGUGAGGUAAAGGCUCACCAAGCCGACGAUCUCUAGCUGGUCUGAGAGGAUGACCAGCCACACUGGGACUGAGACACGGCCCAG